GGCGGCGUGCUUAACACAUGCAAGUCGUGCGGGAAUAGAGGUCAGAACUGAGAGGUUAAGGUAAGGUAGAGAAAAGGCAUCUGCGAAGCAGAUGCCCUCGAGAUCCGACCUCCGACCUCUGACUUCUGACCUCUAUUCCAGCGGCGGACGGGUGAGUAACGUGUGGAUAACCUACCCGGCAGACCGGGAUAACACCGGGAAACUGGUGCUAAUACCGGAUACGCUCUUUGGGCGGCCUCGCGCAAAGAGGAAAGCGGGCCUCUUAACAAUGCUCGCGUUGCUGGAUGGGUCCGCGUCCCAUUAGCUAGUUGGCGGGGUAAAGGCCCACCAAGGCGACGAUGGGUAGCCGGCCUGAGAGGGUGGCCGGCCACACUGGGACUGAGACACGGCCCAGACUCCUACGGGAGGCAGCAGUGGGGAAUCUUCCGCAAUGGGCGCAAGCCUGACGGAGCGACGCCGCGUGGGGGACGAAGGCCUUCGGGUUGUAAACCCCUUUUCUGAGGGAAGAACGCUUACCUUGUGAACAAUGAGGUAAGGUGACGGUACCUUA
RNAcentral lists this ribosomal RNA (550 nucleotides) under uncultured bacterium. RNAcentral's name for it is "bacterial SSU rRNA". It matches the Rfam family "Bacterial small subunit ribosomal RNA", at positions 38 to 482 of the family's 1533-position model. The record is from RNAcentral.